AAUAGAUACCCAGGUAGUCCACGCCGUAAACGAUGAGUGCUAAGUGUUAGAGGGUUUCCGCCCUUUAGUGCUGCAGCUAACGCAUUAAGCACUCCGCCUGGGGAGUACGGCCGCAAGGCUGAAACUCAAAGGAAUUGACGGGGGCCCGCACAAGCGGUGGAGCAUGUGGUUUAAUUCGAAGCAACGCGAAGAACCUUACCAGGUCUUGACAUCCUCUGCCAACCCUAGAGAUAGGGCGUUCCCCUUCGGGGGACAGAGUGACAGGUGGUGCAUGGUUGUCGUCAGCUCGUGUCGUGAGAUGUUGGGUUAAGUCCCGCAACGAGCGCAACCCUUGAUCUUAGUUGCCAGCAUUCAGUUGGGCACUCUAAGGUGACUGCCGGUGACAAACCGGAGGAAGGUGGGGAUGACGUCAAAUCAUCAUGCCCCUUAUGACCUGGGCUACACACGUGCUACAAUGGAUGGUACAAAGAGUUGCGAACCCGCGAGGGUAAGCCAAUCUCAUAAAGCCAUUCUCAGUUCGGA
RNAcentral lists this ribosomal RNA (522 nucleotides) under uncultured bacterium. RNAcentral describes it as "bacterial SSU rRNA". It matches the Rfam family "Bacterial small subunit ribosomal RNA", at positions 777 to 1297 of the family's 1533-position model. The record is from RNAcentral.